RNAcentral lists this transfer RNA (63 nucleotides) under Curculionoidea sp. 1 KM-2015. RNAcentral's name for it is "tRNA-Cys". Lineage: Eukaryota; Metazoa; Arthropoda; Insecta; Coleoptera. The record is from RNAcentral.
GAUUAUAUAGUCAAUAUUGACAUAAAAUUGCAAAUUUUAAGGUAUUUUAUUAAAUUGUAGUCU